AAGUCGUAACAAGGUAACCGUAGGUGAACCUGCGGUUGGAUCAUUACAAAAUUGGUUUUAUACCAAACUUUUUGUGCACUAUAUCUGUCUCUGGUGGCUCUCGUGCUGAGAACUUCCAACGGUUCUUGGCCUGCUUAGUUGCUGGGUCACCAAUGGUGGGCUAUUAUUUUGAUGGCCCAUGAACAACAUUUAAUUUAUAUAUUGUCUGAAACUUCACUUAUGUGAAUUUGAAAACAACUUUUGACAACGGAUCUCUUGGCUCUC
RNAcentral lists this unclassified non-coding RNA (264 nucleotides) under fungal sp. RNAcentral's name for it is "partial internal transcribed spacer region". The stretch from base 1 to 46 matches the Rfam family "Eukaryotic small subunit ribosomal RNA", at positions 1786 to 1831 of the family's 1831-position model. The record is from RNAcentral. Lineage: Eukaryota; Fungi.